Molecule: long non-coding RNA, 577 nt
Filed under: Pongo abelii (Sumatran orangutan)
Lineage: Eukaryota; Metazoa; Chordata; Mammalia; Primates; Hominidae
Description: lincRNA
Source: RNAcentral
AGAAUGCUGCUGUCUCGUGUACAUACUGUUAAGGAUCCUGGAAAAGGGAGUGGUUCCUCCUAGCUGCAAACAAGGGCGCUACUUUUCUUUUCUCUUUUUAAUAGAAUUACGUUUUAUAGGUGUGUCUAGGCAACACAAGGGAAUGUGAAAGACUUUCAGAGGGAAUGUUUGUGAAUACAUUUGGUGUGUACUAAAAAGCUGGAAAACCCCUAAGUAAAUGCAAUAUCGAUAGCGAGUUUCUUGAAGAGUCAUCUGCUAAACUCCACUAGAGUCAUCUCUACAGAUGCAACUGACUCACUUAAAAUAACUGUGUGGAUAUUGAACUUUUAUGAACUACUAUUUACUAAAUUAUAUGGGUGUGUUUUUCCUCAUCUCAGAAUAGCAUAUCAAUAGAUGCUAUACAAACAUAAGAGGGUGUGGUUAAGAGAAAAAAAAAUUGCCAUUAAGGAAUCAGCAAAUAGGAUGUCUGAAGUGAGGAUAGAGCACCUAUCUCUGAGAUCAAAGUCAUCUGACCAAAAAUGAUGCCUCUGAGACCAUAACAAAAGAAUGAAUAAUGAAAUAUAAGAAUAGGGAUUCU